Molecule: unclassified non-coding RNA, 358 nt
Filed under: soil metagenome
Description: partial contains 5.8S ribosomal RNA, internal transcribed spacer 2, and large subunit ribosomal RNA
Rfam family: 5.8S ribosomal RNA (bases 1-120)
Source: RNAcentral
GAUGAAGAACGUAGCGAAAUGCGAUAAGUAAUGGGAAUUGCAGAAUUCAGUGAAUCAUCGAAUCUUUGAACGCACAUUGCGCCCGUCAGUAUUCUGGCGGGCAUGCCUGUUCGAGCGUCAUUACGCCCCUCAAGUCCCCUGUGGACUUGGUGUUGGGGAUCGGCGAGGCUGGUUUUCCAGCACAGCCGUCCCUUAAAUUAAUUGGCGGUCUCGCCGUGGCCCUCCUCUGCGCAGUAGUAAAACACUCGCAACAGGAGCCCGGCGCGGUCCACUGCCGUAAAACCCCCCAACUUUUUAUAGUUGACCUCGAAUCAGGUAGGACUACCCGCUGAACUUAAGCAUAUCAAUAAGCGGAGGA